This 458-nucleotide long non-coding RNA is filed under the name Citrus sinensis (sweet orange). RNAcentral describes it as "long non-coding RNA (CSIN_LNC003907)". Lineage: Eukaryota; Viridiplantae; Streptophyta; Magnoliopsida; Sapindales; Rutaceae. The record is from RNAcentral.
UGCAUUCGGACGCGGCUUCGGCCGUGGUGGGCGGGGCGACCGUGGAGGCCCACGUGGCCGUCGCCGCGCUGGACGCAGAGAGGAAGAAGAGAAGUGGGUCCCAGUCACGAAACUCGGCCGUCUGGUGAGAGAAGGCAAGAUCAGGAGCCUCGAGCAAAUCUACCUCCACUCGCUCCCAAUCAAGGAGUAGCAAAUCAUCGACACGCUUAUCGACCACAAAUUGAAGGACGAGGUUCAAGGCCUUCGUCGUCGUCGGUGACACGGACGGCCACGUGGGUCUUGGCGUUAAGUGCUCCAAAGAGGUUGCCACUGCCAUCCGUGGCGCUAUCAUAUUGGCGAAGCUGUCGGUGAUUCCGGUGAGAAGGGGUUACUGGGGUAACAAGAUCGGGAGGCCACACACCGUGCUGUGUAAGGUGACCGGUAAGUGUGGCAGUGCCACCGUGAGGAUGGUUCCGGAC